AUCGAGGGAGGAAAAGAUAGAGAGAGUUUGAUGCGUACCACUGAUGGUGGUUGAUUAGGGUUUUGGUUUAAAUCUGGAUCUAUGUUACAACCAAGAAGAAAAAGGGGAUUUUGCUGUUUUAGAUGGCAGAAUACAACUGAAUCGAAGAUAAGGUAAUGAACCUGCUGCUGUUGAAUAGAAGAUGGGUAUUUGUUAAUCGAGGUUGGAGGAUGAAUUGACGCUGAUGAAUAGAGGGCCAGGGAAGAAGAAGAUGCAGAAAUUGAUCUCUGUUGAGGUCGAAAUAAUGUGUUGGUGUUCUUGAGGAUAAAAGGGUCUGAUUCGAAAUGGGUUUUUGGGUUGAAUCUGGAAGAGGAUCAGCGAGAGUUUGAUGAUGGGGAUUUAUGAGAUUUCAGUAAACACCGAUUCAGGGUUUAAUGGGUUUGAGAGAUUCAUGAAUUUUUUGGAGAAGCUGAUGGUUGAAGAUUGCUGGUGAUUAGAACUGGAUGAAUUGGUGUUGCUGUGGAGCAGUAUUGAGAAACAAUUGCAGUUGUAGAUGAAAAUGGUACUGCAGAUUAUGGAUGGAAUUGUAGGUGAUUCAAAGACGCUGGUGGUUUGCAGUUGAGCAUGGGAAAGCAACAGGAAGAAUGGGAUCUCGCUGCAAUUGAAGAAUUUGUGUUGCUGCUGCUAGAAAUCAAGUUUGGGUUGGAGGGGAAUAAGUUAGGUUUUGAUGAAAUUGAAUUCACAGAGAGGAGUUGAUGGUUCUCGAGCAGAAAUUAAGAAGAAACUGGUGCUUCUGUUUAAUUGAAAUGGUGGAUUAUUGUAGGUGAUAUGAAUGAUUAAGGAUAUGAAGUGCUAGUGGUGAUUGAAGCAACCUGGUGGUGGUGGUUUUGCUGAGAUGGAGGAAAUUGAGAAAAGUCUCGAGUUCUGGUGGCGAUGUUAUUGCAGUGGUGCUGCUACUGGUGAUGUUGGUGGUGCAAAACAAGGGCCAUGGGGUGACCCUUUUGAUGGUGGAAAUCGUGAUAGAAGAAUCAGCAAUAGGUGGGCGGGUUCGAGGAAGCACGGCAACUCGGCAACAACCCAUGACCAGCCUGAAGAAAAACAUGAGGAACUUGUUGUGGAAAUGAAGGAAAUUAUUUCUGAUGAGGUGGAGCAGAGUGAUGCACCAGCAUCUAAAGCAAUUAAUGACUGGGAUGAGUCCAAAUCUAAUUAGGAGAAGGAAGCCGAGACCAAGAAAGCUGAGGAGGAGGCCAAGAAAGCCGAGGAGGAAGUUUCCAAGAAAGCGAGGAGGAGGCCAAGAGAGCUGAGGAGGAAAAGAAGAUGACACUAGAGGAGUAUGAAAAGGUACUUGAAGAGAAAAGAAAAGUUCUAGUUGCAAUGAAGGCUUAAGAGAAGAAAGUUGAGUUGUACAAAUCGUUUGAGUCUAUGAAGCUGCUUAAGAAAGAGAAAGAAGAAAUUUUCGUCAAACUGGGCUCUUACAAGAAUUCAGGAAAACAAAGAGAAGAUGGUGAUCGCGAGGAGAAAGUCAAAAAGUCUGUUAGCAUCAUUGAGUUCCUGAAACCAGCUGAUGGUGAAAGGAGAAACUAUAGGUCUGUAGGUGGUCGACGCGACAGUGGUGAAGGUGGUCGAGGUGACAGGGGUGAAGGUGAACGUGGUGCCACCAGAGGCCCCUAAACCUGUAUAGGCACAUGAUAAACGUAAAUUUGCAAUGAAUUGUUGAUUUUUUUUUCGCGUUUCACUAAGUUCAGUGCGAUGAAAGGCUGUUUCUUGUUGUUACUAGCCAUGCGCCGAAUUUGGAUCAUUUUAUGUACAACAUGUGCUUAUUAAACAUCAGUGCUAUCUUUUGACAUUGGACAUAGGGGUUUAGGAUCUUUAGAAGGCCGACUUCAGAGGUCAAGUAUGUUAGUGAUGCUGUUAUGUUUUAUUACAUGGCCCAAGGAUCGAAUACUGUGCUCAUAGACAUCUUAAUUUUCAAGUAUCUUAGUGAUGCUGCUAUUUUUUGAAUGUGUAUUUAACACUGGUAGGUUAACUUGAAUGAAUGUAAAUGUGUUACACUGGCAGUUUAAUGUGAAUGUGAAAUA
Molecule: long non-coding RNA, 2057 nt
Organism: Papaver somniferum (opium poppy)
Lineage: Eukaryota; Viridiplantae; Streptophyta; Magnoliopsida; Ranunculales; Papaveraceae
Exons: 6
Source: RefSeq, a predicted model, not a curated record